Molecule: ribosomal RNA, 220 nt
Filed under: uncultured Glomus
Lineage: Eukaryota; Fungi; Glomeromycota; Glomeromycetes; Glomerales; Glomeraceae
Description: partial small subunit ribosomal RNA
Rfam family: Eukaryotic small subunit ribosomal RNA
Source: RNAcentral
CCAAUAGCGUAUAUUAAAGUUGUUGCAGUUAAAAAGCUCGUAGUUGAAUUUCGAGACCGGCUUACUGGUCGUGCUUUUGUGCGUACUGGUAUAAUCGGUUUCUCCUUUCUGACGAACUUUAAUGCCAUUAAUUUGGUGUUUUAGGGAAUCAGGACUGUUACUUUGAAAAAAUUAGAGUGUUUAAAGCAGGCUCACGCUUGAAUACAUUAGCAUGGAAUAA